This 478-nucleotide ribosomal RNA is filed under the name uncultured bacterium. Its description in RNAcentral is "partial 16S ribosomal RNA". It matches the Rfam family "Bacterial small subunit ribosomal RNA", at positions 28 to 507 of the family's 1533-position model. The record is from RNAcentral.
GAUGAACGCUGGCGGCGUGCCUAACACAUGCAAGUCGAACGGAGUCCAGCCUUUAAGACCUUCGGGUCAAAGAGGGGAAGACUGAGUGGCGAACGGGUGAGUAACACGUGGGCAACCUGGCUCAUAGAGGGGGAUAACAGAGAGAAAUUUCUGCUAAUACCGCAUAAGCACACACUGCCGCAUGGCAGAGGGUGAAAAGAGAAUCGCUAUGAGAUGGACCCGCGUCUGAUUAGCCAGUUGGCAGGGUAAGAGCCUACCAAAGCGACGAUCAGUAGCCGAUCUGAGAGGAUGAACGGCCACAUUGGGACUGAGACACGGCCCAAACUCCUACGGGAGGCAGCAGUGGGGGAUAUUGCACAAUGGGGGGAACCCUGAUGCAGCGACGCCGCGUGAGUGAAGAAGUAUUUCGGUAUGUAAAGCUCUAUCAGCAGGGAAGAUAAUGACAGUACCUGAAUAAGAAGCCCCGGCUAACUACGUG